RNAcentral lists this transfer RNA (69 nucleotides) under Catamiarus brevipennis. Its description in RNAcentral is "tRNA-Ser". It matches the Rfam family "tRNA". Rfam says of the family: Transfer RNA (tRNA) molecules are approximately 80 nucleotides in length. Their secondary structure includes four short double-helical elements and three loops (D, anti-codon, and T loops). The record is from RNAcentral. Lineage: Eukaryota; Metazoa; Arthropoda; Insecta; Hemiptera; Reduviidae.
AGUUAAUUAGCUUAAGAAAAGCGUGUAUUUUGAAAAUACAAAAAAAAGGUUUAAUUCCUUUAUUAACUU